Molecule: non-coding RNA, 93 nt
Filed under: Canicola haemoglobinophilus
Lineage: Bacteria; Pseudomonadati; Pseudomonadota; Gammaproteobacteria; Pasteurellales; Pasteurellaceae
Description: Haemophilus haemoglobinophilus TPP sequence
Rfam family: TPP riboswitch aptamer (THI element)
About the family: Vitamin B(1) in its active form thiamin pyrophosphate (TPP) is an essential coenzyme that is synthesised by coupling of pyrimidine and thiazole moieties in bacteria. The previously detected thiamin-regulatory element, thi box was extended, resulting in a new, highly conserved RNA secondary structure, the THI element, which is widely distributed in eubacteria and also occurs in some archaea.
Source: RNAcentral
GAUUUUUAGUCGGGGUGCUGUGAAAGCAGCUGAGAUGAUACCCGUGAACCUGAUACAGCUAAUACUGACGUAGGAAACUAAAUUAUGCCAAUC